This 258-nucleotide ribosomal RNA is filed under the name uncultured bacterium. Its description in RNAcentral is "partial 16S ribosomal RNA". It matches the Rfam family "Bacterial small subunit ribosomal RNA", at positions 524 to 776 of the family's 1533-position model. The record is from RNAcentral.
UACGGAGGGUGCGAGCGUUUGUCCGGAAUCACUGGGCGUAAAGGGCGCGUAGGUGGCCCGUGGAAGUCUGCGGUGAAAGCCCGGCGCUCAACGCCGGGUCGGCCGUGGAUACUCUCGGGCUUGAGCUCACUAGAGGCAGAUGGAAUUCCGGGGUGUAGCGGUGGAAUGCGUAGAGAUCCGGAAGAACACCGGUGGCGAAGGCGGUCUGCUGGGGUGAGGCUGGACACUGAUGCGCGACAGCGUGGGGGAGCAAACAGG